UCCCUGGUAGCUCAGUGGUAGAGCAAGCGACUGUUAAUCGCUUGGCCGCAAGUUCGAACCUUGCCCAGGGAGCCA
RNAcentral lists this transfer RNA (75 nucleotides) under Rhodospirillaceae bacterium. Its description in RNAcentral is "tRNA-Asn". It matches the Rfam family "tRNA". From Rfam's summary of the family: Transfer RNA (tRNA) molecules are approximately 80 nucleotides in length. Their secondary structure includes four short double-helical elements and three loops (D, anti-codon, and T loops). The record is from RNAcentral. Lineage: Bacteria; Pseudomonadati; Pseudomonadota; Alphaproteobacteria; Rhodospirillales; Rhodospirillaceae. RNAcentral also lists the same sequence under 2 other names.